RNAcentral lists this unclassified non-coding RNA (266 nucleotides) under Glomus sp. RNAcentral's name for it is "partial contains 5.8S ribosomal RNA and internal transcribed spacer 2". The stretch from base 1 to 65 matches the Rfam family "5.8S ribosomal RNA", at positions 84 to 154 of the family's 154-position model. The record is from RNAcentral. Lineage: Eukaryota; Fungi; Glomeromycota; Glomeromycetes; Glomerales; Glomeraceae.
GUGAAUCAUCAAAUUUUUGAACGCAAAUUGCACUCUCUUCGGAUAGUAUGCCUGUUUGAGGGUCAGCCUAAAAAAAAUCGACAUCGUUGCUGUUUCGGGGUUGCUUUCGUGGGAAUUAGGGUUAUCUUUAAUCUUUGGUUUAAGCGACUUAAAAUAUUCUUUACGAUUCCAUGAUCGUUUCCAAUAUUUAUUUCUUUACACGUCUAAGGUAUCGAUUAUAUUAGGCGUGGUCGUCAUAUCGUAUGAUGUCGAUAAUUUUGCUGUAA